This 465-nucleotide ribosomal RNA is filed under the name Vreelandella stevensii. RNAcentral describes it as "partial 16S ribosomal RNA". It matches the Rfam family "Bacterial small subunit ribosomal RNA", at positions 338 to 795 of the family's 1533-position model. Lineage: Bacteria; Pseudomonadati; Pseudomonadota; Gammaproteobacteria; Oceanospirillales; Halomonadaceae. The record is from RNAcentral.
CCUACGGGUGGCUGCAGUGGGGAAUAUUGGACAAUGGGCGAAAGCCUGAUCCAGCCAUGCCGCGUGUGUGAAGAAGGCCUUCGGGUUGUAAAGCACUUUCAGUGGGGAAGAAAGCCUUGGGGCUAAUACCCUCGAGGAAGGACAUCACCCACAGAAGAAGCACCGGCUAACUCCGUGUCAGCAGCCGCGGUAAUACGGAGGGUGCGAGCGUUAAUCGGAAUUACUGGGCGUAAAGCGCGCGUAGGCGGUCUGAUAAGCCGGUUGUGAAAGCCCCGGGCUCAACCUGGGAACGGCAUCCGGAACUGUCAGGCUAGAGUGCAGGAGAGGAAGGUAGAAUUCCCGGUGUAGCGGUGAAAUGCGUAGAGAUCGGGAGGAAUACCAGUGGCGAAGGCGGCCUUCUGGACUGACACUGACGCUGAGGUGCGAAAGCGUGGGUAGCAAACAGGAUUAGAUACCCCAGUAGUC